CAAGAGUUUGCGGGCGGAGUCGGAUACCAUAAGAACUAAAUGUGUGGUGUACAAUAGGAGAGCCGGGUACGAAACUGUCCUUUACUAUUCUGUACCGGGGGACAGUACACGAAUCGGGUACCUACACCCAUUAGAUAAUAUUGAUUGAAAAGGGAAAUUAAAAGGCAAAAAAAAAAGAUGUCGGCAAAUAAAGAUGGAGACGGUGGAUGGAAGAGCUUUCUGUGGAAUUCGGAAAAGAAGGAAUUUCUAGGACGCACUGGUGGCAGUUGGUGUAAGUACAUAAAUCCGUAAUAAACUACUUUUAAUCGACGCUUUUUCUUGAAAUGAACUGGAGGAUAAGAACGAUAGGAGUUGUAGCCCUGUUGUUUCCGUGUAUUGUCAGAAUAAUGUAACGGCACAGAGAGUUCCUGAGUCGUUCUGUAUUUCCUGAUACAGCACCUGUUUGAUUGACCAUAGCGUGCUGUGUAGAGAUCAUUCACUCUUCAAUGGAAACAUGACAAAUCAAUUAAACGUGAUUUAUAAAAAACUCUUCUGUAAAAUAACCGUAUAACCUAUUGAUGGAAUACGAUUCAAAAUAAAUGUCAUGAAAAUUAGUUCUGUCUAAAAAAAAAAAAAAAUAAAAAAAAAAGGCAGUUGAAAUAUAUUCAGACUUUUAGGUCAAGUGAACGUUAAUAAUGUUCCUAUCCGUUAUUAUUCGUUUAAACCCGGGUCGAUCACGUACAACGAAAGCUAGACUCGGUGUCCUUUGCCAAAGAGGUCAUUUUGAAGGACAUCAUUUACAUGAUAUGGUGUUGGAUUGCAACUAACAUGUGCUUGUCUUGCCAUAAUGGCAUGCUUGUUUCUGCUGUCAGCCCAGAAUGGAAAACAUUGAUAAGAGUUGGUAAAUAUCAAUUACUUUAUUUCUCUGAACAAAAUAAUGUGCCAAAUGACAAUGGGGGACAUCCAUUACCUCGGUAAUUAGUAGUUUUAUCCCAAUACAGUUAGAUUUUUUUGGAAGGAAUCAGGGUUCAAGGUUAACAGUCAAGGUGAUCCGGCCUUUUUCCUCUGAAACUGAUGUCAUUAUUUUGGACCGACAGAAUAAUGUAAAAAAACGAAGCCAACAAUCAGCAUUGAUUUACCAAUGAGACACUUUCUUGUUCAACUGGUGAGCUUGCAACACUGUAACACACACGGUAUCUCUACAUUAUUAUUAUUUGUUUGCUCAGUAUUGGAGUGGGAGACUGUUGCAGUAGGUAGUUAGUUCAUCUACUGGCUACAUUUCGUUUUUUUUUUGUAUUUAUCUAGGCGCUUUCUCUACAUAGAAAGAUCAUGUCACGACUCACAUGCUCGGUUUGUCCAGGGCCACCCCUCCCCCACAGACAACUGUGUUUCUUUCAGCAGCUACUGGGGACAAUUUGUUACUUAAAUCAAUUAUACCGAGUUCACAUGGGUAGGGCGAUUAUUACGGUAGACUUUCACAAUCCGAGCACAAAUAAAGACAGAUUGAACGCUCUAGUAGGGGACACAGUCACCAUUUGUUUCCGGAAUGCUGGCCAGAUUAUUUUUGGUAAAGCAAAGAGCGCCUGUUCACUGAUACUUGUUGGUUUAUCUCUCGAAACAGUUGGCUGUUCUCUGAAUUCAUUUAUAGAAUUCAGAAGCUCGAUGAAAGUAACUUGGUACGUUUUGAAAAGUCCCAAGGUUUCUGGCGUGUUGCCUUUGUUUGCGUAGCCUACAUAUCGCGCACGGUAUUAUUAAGUGCACGUCGGCUCUCAUCGAUGUGGUUGUUACAGCCUGGUCUCAUACACUGUCAUUACAUAGUAAACGUAAAUCCGGGACUGUAAAAUUAGUAUGGCAUGUUUGAUAGGGUUGUAUAAGACAGAUGGUUUACUUGAGGUAAAAAAAAAAAACGGAAGUCGGAUGAGUGGGUGUAUAAAGCCAACGUCUAGUAACCGAAAGGUUGUGAGUUCGAAUCGCAUCACAGACAACUUUAGCAUUUUAUCUACUUACUACUUUUUUUUUUGUUGAAACUUUGCAACCAUUUAGCAUGUUAGCUAACACUUAACUCUUUAGCCUAACUCAAAAACCCCUAGCCGAGCUAGAAUUCGUAACAUAUAAUACAAAUCGUAUUUCGUAACAUAUCAUACGAAAUGGGUGAUAGACAUCCACAAAUUAAUACAUAAAAUAACACAGGAAAUUGAGUUUCCCCAGAUUUACGUACAGAAUAAUACAAAAAGCUCUGAGACCAGGUUGCAGCGGUUAUUGCUCAGGAUAAGCCUUCCGAUUGGCUGGGCUGGCUGUGCAGCAACCAUGUCAUUUUACCCCGCAUCAAAUCACAGUUGGUCGUCAUCACAAAAAGGUAGGAAUUAGCGACUACUGUAGGCUACAUUUGAUUCAGGUCUUCAUUUAGUGACACUUGUAUCCAAUGAUGGUGUAAUAACCCUUAUACUUACAGCUACCCAGUGCCUGUAGUCUUUUGAAAGGUAAGCGUAUACGGAACUAUUGCACGAAAUAGGACAAUUAUGAUAAUCUCAGCAAUCUCUGUGCUGUUUGCCUUGAGGAAUGUGAGAACGUGCCUGAGUUGUUCAUUCACAACACGAAGCCAUGCCUGCCUGACUGGUCUACCCUGCUGCUCUGGGGGGGGGGGGGAUAGACCGAGCUGAGAGAGAGAGAGAGAGAGGAGAGAGAAGAGAGAGAGAGAGACAGACAGAGAGAGAGACAGAGAGAGAGACAGAGAGAGAGAGAGAGACAGAGAGAGGUUAUCACAAGGACUGGAAGGCAUUCAACAAGUCUCCUAUUGGCCAAUUUGAUCACAUUUAUUACAAGAGAGCGAGAAAGACAUCGUGGUCUGGAAUUUAGCUUCCCCCCCCUGAGCUUCCACACAAUAUGCGGUCAUAGGUGUGUAAAGAAAUACACGGAUUUGAGAGACUAAUAAAUGAAUUGGACUUUGGAACAGAGCUAUAGGGCUCGCCAGCUUGUAGUCCCAAUGGCUCGUUGCUCAAAGCCUACGGGGGGAAAUUUAAUGCCGCUUUUGGAGGUGUUUUGGAUAACGCGGUCUGAGGCUAACAGGUUUCGGAGAUUUGACACGUUUUGUUCUAUGAGAUAAUAUCAGGCAGCGUGAUGAGAACGGCCCAUAGGGCAGGAGUCUAUCUCCUGUUUCUGUAGUGAGAGGCAGCUUGAUGAGACCGGCCCAUAGGGCAGGAGUCUAUCUCCUGUUUCUGUAGCGAGAGGCAGCGUGAUGAGAACGGCCCAUAGGGCAGGAGUCUACCUCCUGUUUCUGUAGUGAGAGGCAGCUUGAUGAGAACGGCCCAUAGGACAGGAGUCUAUCUCCUGUUUCUGUAGUGAGAGGCAGCUUGAUGAGAACGGCCCAUAGGGCAGGAGUCUAUCUCCUGAUUCUGUAGUGAGAGGCAGCUUGAUGAGAACGGCCCAUAGGGCAGGAGUCUAUCUCCUGUUUCUGUAGUGAGAGGCAGCGUGAUGAGAACGGCCCAUAGGGCAGGAGUCUAUCUCCUGUUUCUGUAGUGAGAGGCAGCUUGAUGAGAACGGCCCAUAGGGCAGGAGUCUACCUCCUGUUUCUGUAGUGAGAGGCAGCUUGAUGAGAACGGCCCAUAGGGCAGGAGUCUACCUCCUGUUUCUGUAGUGAGAGGCAGCUUGAUGAGAACGGCCCAUAGGGCAGGAGUCUACCUCCUGUUUCUGUAGUGAGAGGCAGCUUGAUGAGAACGGCCCAUAGGGCAGGAGUCUAUCUCCUGUUUCUGUAGUGAGAGGCAGCUUGAUGAGAACGGCCCAUAGGGCAGGAGUCUACCUCCUGUUUCUGUAGUGAGAGGCAGCUUGAUGUACAAGUACCACCUCUUGGACAGGAUGCUGGCCUAUCACAGGGCCUUAACCCCUGGACAGGACGCCAGCCUAUCACAGGGCCGUACCCCUGGACAGGACGCCGGCCUAUCACAGGGCCGUAUCCAGGACGCUUGCCCAUCACAGGGCCGUACCCAGGACGCUAGCCCAUCACAGGGCCGUACCCAGGACGCUAGCCCAUCACAGGGCCGUACCCAGGACGCUAGCCUAUCACAGGGCCUUAACCCCGAUCUUAUCUCCUUAAUGCUGAAUGUCAAGCGGAGACUUGUCAGGUUUUUCUUCGGUUUGACUCGACCAGAGAUUGAAUUCAUAACUUUCCAAUCUCAGGACACUGUAACCACAAGGCCACUGAGUUGGUCUAUGAGGCAGUUAAACAUGACCUUUAUGAAUUAUGAAGCCUUUAUGUGCUUGUUUGGAUUAUAUAAAGUGACGUUAGCUGAUCAAGAUGAUCCAAUAGAAUAAUGCAUCAGAACUCCUAAACCACAGACCUUAUUUUCAGUGUUUAUUCAUAAAAAACACACGUUUUGACCAAUGAGCCUCUGUUAAUAGAGCCCCACAGUGGAGGUGUCAUAAUACCCAUAAAACCUAGCGGUCAAACAAGGAAAUUAGAAACUUUAAAUAAGGUCUGUGUUUCGGGAAGGCUUACCAUGGCGUGAAGUUUUGAUAACCGUGUAAAUCUCUCUAGGACAAGGUGACUUUUAUCAAUAUAUUAGCCUGUAUUUACACUCAGUAAAAAAAAAAAAAUGCUAAUUAGCCUCAAAGAAGACAUCAUGCAAGACUUCAAAACCCUGCAUCUCAUCUCUAGCUGAUAUCUAACAGGUAUUGAUCCUACAGGUCUCCUCUAGCUGACACCUAACAGGUAUUGAUCCUGCAGGUCUCCUCUAGCUGAUAUCUAACAGGUAUUGAUCCUACAGGUCUCCUCUAGCUGAUAUCUAACAGGUAUUGAUCCUGCAGGUCUCCUCUAGCUGAUACCUAACAGGUAUUGAUCCUGCAGGUCUCCUCUAGCUGAUACCUUUUCUAACAGGUAUUGAUCCUGCAGGUCUCCUCUAGCUGAUAUCUAACAGGUAUUGAUCCUGCAGGUCUCCUCUAGCUGAUACCUUUACUAACAGGUAUUGUGUCAAUUUAAAACCUGCACAAGACAGUUAACAGAAUUGUCCGUUUAAAGAAAUCUAGACAAUUUCUUCAUUACUACAUUUAACUAACAUUAGAUAGUUGAUCCAGAGAUUCUGACCUUUGCCUCGAUUCGUCAGUCUCAUCCAGAUCAUCCAGAGCCGUACCUUCAGGCUCUGAUCAGGCCCUACACCCAAACAAGGGCACUGCGUUCAUCCACCUCUGGCCUGCUGGCCCCCCUACCUCUGAGGAAGCACAGUUCCCGCUCAGCCCAGUCAAAACUGUUCGCUGCUCUGGCACCCCAAUGGUGGAACAAGCUCCCUCACGACGCCAGGACAGCGGAGUCAAUCACCACCUUCCGGAGACACCCGAAACCCCACCUCUUUAAGGAAUACCUGGGAUAGGAUAAAGUAAUCCUUCUACCCCCCCUAAAAGAUUUAGAUGCACUAUUGUAAAGUGGUUGUUCCACUGGAUAUCAUAAGGUGAAUGCACCAAUUUGUAAGUCGCUCUGGAUAAGAGCGUCUGCUAAAUGACUUAAAUGUAAAUGUAAAUCAUCAUGGAAUUUGUAGUUCUUUAUGAUAUCCACAUUAGCAGCUAAUUAGCAUUUCAUUGGGGGGGAAAUUCAGGCUAAUAUAUUGAUAAAAGUCACCUUGUCCAAGAGAGAUUUACAUGGUUAUCAAAACGUCACGCCAUGGUAAGCCUACACGAAAUACAGCCCUUAUUUUAAGUGUUUCUAAAAUCCCCUACGGGGAAAAAUGACUGGUGGAAAAACGAUUGGAACCAUUUCCUUGUUUGACCGCUAGGUUUUAUGGGUAUUAUGACUCAUACUGUGGUACUCUAUGCCUACGAAAAUACAGCCAUGGUCACCUUCGAUGCAACUGGUUUGCAUCUCUCUGUCACCCCAGAGCUCACUGCCAUGGUUACCGCCAGUAAAUCAGUCUCUCUCUCUCCCUCUCACACACACCCAGACACUGUUGCACUAUGAAGUUAUUCUGCUCAAACAAUGCACUAGUAAAAGUGUUUCCUGUAGAUUGUUUAGUCACUGGAUGUUUAGUAAAGAACAGUAGAGUGGUGUAGAGAACAGUAGAAUGGUGUAGAGAACAGUAGAAUGGUGUAGAGUAGAGAACAGAGUGGUGUAGAGUAGAGAACAGUAGCGUAGAGUGGUGUAGAGAACAGUAGAGUAGAGAACAGUAGAGUGGUGUAGAGUAGAGAACAGUAGAGUGGUGUAGAGUAGAGAACAGUAGAGUGGGUAGAGUAGAGAACAGUAGAGUGGUGUAGAGUAGAGAACAGUAGAGUGGUGUAGAGUAGAGAACAGUAGAGUGGUGUAGUGUAGAGAACAGUAGAGUGGUGUAGAGUAGAGAACAGUAGAGUGGUGUGUAGAGAACAGUAGAGUGGUGUAGAGGAGAGACCAGUAGAGUGGUGUAGCGUAGAGAACAGUAGAGUGGUGUAGAGUAGAGAACAGUAGAGUGGUGUGGUGUAGAGUAGAGAACAGUAGAGUGGUGUAGAGUAGAGAACAGUAGAGUGGUGUAGAGUGGAGUGGUGUAGAAUACAGAACAGUAGAGUGGUGUAGAGAACAGUAGAGUGGUGUAGAGUAGAGAACAGUAGAGUGGUGUAGAGUAGAGAACAGUAGAGUGGUGUAGAGAACAGUAGAGGGGUGUAGAGUAGAGAACAGUAGAGUGGUGUAGAGUAGAGAACAGUAGAGUGGUGUAGAGUAGAGAACAGUAGAGUGGUGUAGAGUAGAGAACAGUAGAGUGGUGUAGAGUAGAGAACAGUAGAGUGGUGUAGAAUAGAGAACAGUAGAGUGGUGUAGAGUAGAGAACAGUAGAGUGGUGUAGAAUAGAGAACAGUAGAGUGGUGUAGAGUAGAGAACAGUAGAGUGGUGUAGAAUAGAGAACAGUAGAGUGGUGUAGAGAACAGUAGAGUGGUGUAGAGUGGUGUAGAGUAGAGAACAGUAGAGUGGUGUAGAGUAGAGAACAGUAGAGUGGUGUAGAAAACAGUAGAGUGGUGUAGAGUGGUGUAGAGUAGAGAACAGUAGAGUGGUGUAGAGUAGAGUGGUGUAGAGUAGAGAACAGUAGAGUGGUGUAGAGUAGCGAACAGUAGAGUGGUGUAGAGUAGAGAACAGUAGAGUGGUGUAGAGGAGAGAACAGUAGAGUGGUGUAGGAUAGAGAACAGUAGAGUAGAGAACAGUAGAAUGGUGUAGAAUAUGUUUAGGGGAGGGAAUGUUCUGUAGUAGUGUAUGUGUAGGGAUUGUUCUGUAGUAGUGUAUGUGAAGGGGAGGGAAAGUUCUGUAGUAGUGUAUGUGUAGGGGAGGGAAUGUUCUGUAGUAGUGUAUGUGUAGGGGAGGGAAUGUUCUGUAGUAGUGUAUGUGUAGGGGAGGGAAUGUUCUGUAGUAGUGUAUGUGUAGGGGAGGGAAUGUUCUGUAGUAGUGUAUGUGUAGGGGAGGGAAUGUUCUGUAGUAGUGUAUGUGUAGGGGAGGGAAUGUUCUGUAGUAGUGUAUGUGUAGGGAAUGUUCUGUAGUAGUGUAUGUGUAGGGAAUGUUCUGUAGUAGUGUAUGUGUAGGGAAUGUUCUGUAGUAGUGUAUGUGUAGGGGAGGGAAUGUUCUGUAGUAGUGUAUGUGUAGGGGAGGGAAUGUUCUGUAGUAGUGUAUGUGUAGGGGAGGGAAUGUUCUGUAGUAGUGUAUGUGUAGGGAAUGUUCUGUAGUAGUGUAUGUGUAGGGAAUGUUAUGUAGUAGUGUAUGUGUAGGGGAGGGAAUGUUCUGUAGUAGUGUAUGUGUAGGGGAGGGAAUGUUCUGUAGUAGUGUAUGUGUAGGGGAGGGAAUGUUCUGUAGUAGUGUAUGUGUAGGGAAUGUUCUGUAGUAGUGUAUGUGUAGGGGAGGGAAUGUUCUGUAGUAGUGUAUGUGUAGGGGAGGGAAUGUUCUGUAGUAGUGUAUGUGUAGGGGAGGGAAUGUUCUGUAAUAGUGUAUGUGUAGGGGAGGGAAUGUUCUGUAGUAGUGUAUCUGGAGGGGAGGGAAUGUUCUGUAGUAGUGUAUGUGUAGGGUAGGGAAUGUUCUGUAGUAGUGUAUGUGUAGGGGAGGGAAUGUUCUGUAGUAGUGUAUGUGGAGGGGAGGGAAUGUUCUGUAGUAGUGUAUGUGUAGGGGAGGGAAUGUUCUGUAGUAGUGUAUGUGUAGGGGAGGGAAUGUUCAGUAGUAGUGUAUGUGUUGGGGAGGGAAUGUUCUGUAGUAGUGUAUGUGUAGGGGAGGGAAUGUUCUGUAGUAGUGUAUGUGUAGGGAAUGUUCUGUAGUAGUGUAUGUGUAGGGGAGGGAAUGUUCUGUAGUAGUGUAUGUGUAGGGGAGGGAAUGUUCAGUAGUAGUGUAUGUGUUGGGGAGGGAAUGUUCUGUAGUAGUGUAUGUGAAGGGGAGGGAAUGUUCUGUAGUAGUGUAUGUGUAGGGGAGGGAAUGUUCUGUAGUAUGUGUAGGGGAGGGAAUGUUCUGUAGUAGUGUAUGUGUAGGGAAUGUUCUGUAGUAGUGUAUGUGUAGGGGAGGGAAUGUUCUGUAGUAGUGUAUGUGUAGGGGAGGGAAUGUUCAGUAGUAGUGUAUGUGUUGGGGAGGGAAUGUUCUGUACUAGUGUAUGUGAAGGGGAGGGAAUGUUCUGUAGUAGUGUAUGUGUAGGGGAAGGGAAUGUUCUGUAGUUUGUGUAGGGUAGGGAAUGUUCUGUAGUAGUGUAUGUGUAGGGGAGGGAAUGUUCUGUAGUAGUGUAUGUGUAGGGGAGGGAAUGUUCUGUAGUAGUGUAUGUGUAGGGGAGGGAAUGUUCUGUAGUAGUGUAUGUGUAGGGAAUGUUCUGUAGUAGUGUAUAUCUAGGGAAUGUUCUGUAGUAGUGUAUGUGUAGCGGAGGGAAUGUUCUGUAGUAGUGCAUGUGUAGGGGAGGGAAUGUUCUGUAGUAGUGUAUGUGUAGGGGAGGGAAUGUUCUGUAGUAGUGUAUGUGUAGGGGAGGCAAUGUUCAGUAGUAGUGUAUGUGUAGGGGAGGGAAUGUUCUGUAGUAGUGUAUGUGUAGGGGUGGCAAUGUUCAGUAGUAGUGUAUGUGUUGGGAAGGGAAUGUUCUGUAGUAGUGUAUGUGUAGGGGAGGGAAUGUUCUGUAGUAGUGUAUGUGUAGGGAAUGUUCUGUAGUAGUGUAUGUGUAGGGGAGGGAAUGUUCUGUAGUAGUGUAUGUGUAGGGGAGGGAAUGUUCUGUAGUAGUGUAUGUGUAGGGGAGGGAAUGUUCUGUAGUAGUGUAUGUGUAGGGGAGGGAAUGUUCUGUAGUAGUGUAUGUGUAGGGGAGGGAAUGUUCUGUAGUAGUGUAUGUGUAGGGAAUGUUCUGUAGUAGUGUAUGUGUAGGGAAUGUUAUGUAGUAGUGUAUGUGUAGGGGAGGGAAUGUUCUGUAGUAGUGUAUGUGUAGGGAAUGUUCUAUAGUAGUGUAUGUGUAGGGUAGGGAAUGUUCUGUAGUAGUGUAUGUGUAGGGAAUGUUCUGUAGUAGUGUAUGUGUAGGGGAGGGAAUGUUCUGUAGUAGUGUAUGUGUAGCGGAGGGAAUGUUCUGUAGUAGUGUAUGUGUAGGGGAGGGAAUGUUCUGUAGUAUUGUAUGUGUAGGGAAUGUUCUCUAGUAGUGUAUGUGUAGGGGAGGAGAUGUUCUAUAGUAGUGUAUGUGUAGGGUAGGGAAUGUUCUGUAGUAGUGUAUGUGUAGGGUAGGGAAUGUUCUGUCGUAGUGUAUGUGUAGGGGAGGGAAUGUUCUGUAGUAGUGUAUGUGUAGGGGAGGGAAUGUUCUGUAGUAGUGUAUGUGUAGGGAACGUUCUGUAGUCGUGUAUGUGUAGGGAAUGUUCUGUAGUAGUCUAUGUGUAGGGGAGGGAAUGUUCUGUAGUAGUGUAUGUGUAGGGAAUGUUCUGUAGUAGUGUAUGUGUAGGGGAGGGAAUGUUCUGUAAUAGUGUAUGUGUAGGGGAGGGAAUGUUCUGUAGUAGUGUAUGUGUAGGGGAGGGAAUGUUCUGUAGUAGUGUAUGUGAAGGGGAGGGAAUGUUAUGUAGUAGUGUAUGUGUAGGGGAGGGAAUGUUCUGUAGUAGUGUAUGUGUAGGGGAGGGAAUGUUCUGUAGUAGUGUAUGUGUAGGGGAGGCAAUGUUCAGUAGUAGUGUAUGUGUUGGGAAGGGAAUGUUCUGUAGUAGUGUAUGUGUAGGGGAGGGAAUGUUCUGUAGUAGUGUAUGUGUAGGGAAUGUUCUGUAGUAGUGUAUGUGUAGGGGAGGGAAUGUUCUGUAGUAGUGUAUGUGUAGGGGAGGGAAUGUUCUGUAGUAGUGUAUGUGUAGGGGAGGGAAUGUUCUGUACUAGUGUAUGUGUAGGGUAGGGAAUGUUCUGUAAUAGUGUAUGUGUAGGGGAGGGAAUGUUCUGUAGUAGUGUAUGUGUAGGGUAGGGAAUGUUCUGUAGUAGUGUAUGUGUAGGGGAGGGAAUGUUCUGUAGUAGUGUAUGUGUAGGGGAGGGAAUGUACUGUAGUAGUGUAUGUGUAGGGGAGGGAAUGUUCUGUAGUAGUGUAUGUGUAGUGGAGGGAAUGUUCUGUAGUAGUGUAUUUGGAGGGGAGGGAAUGUUCUGUAGUAUUGUAUGUGUAGGGGAGGGAAUGUUCUGUAGUAGUGUAUGUGUAGGGGAGGGAAUGUUCAGUAGUAGUGUAUGUGUUGGGGAGGUAAUGUUCUGUAGUAGUGUAUGUGUAGGGGAGGGAAUGUUCUGUAGUAGUGUAUGUGUAGGGGAGGGAAUGUUCUGUAGUAGUGUAUGUGGAGGGGAUGUUCUGUAGUAGUGUAUGUGUAGGGGAGGGAAUGUUCUGUAGUAGUGUAUGUGUAGGGGAGGGAAUGUUCUGUAGUAGUGUAUGUGUAGGGGAGGGAAUGUUCUGUAGUAGUGUAUGUGUAGGGGAGGGAAUGUUCUGUAGUAGUGUAUGUGUAUGUGUAGGGAAUCUUCUGUAGUAGUGUAUGUGUAGGGGAGGGAAUGUUCUGUAGUAGUGUAUGUAUAGGGAAUGUUCUGUAGUAGUGUAUGUGUAGGGAAUGUUCUGUAGUAGUGUAUGUGUAGGGGAGGGAAUGUUCUGUAGUAGUGUAUGUGUAGGGAAUGUUCUGUAGUAGUGUAUAUCUAGGGAAUGUUCUGUAGUAGUGUAUGUGUAGGGGAGAGAAUGUUCUGUAGUAGUGUAUGUGUAGGGGGGGAAUGUUCUGUAGUAGUGUAUGUGUAGGG
RNAcentral lists this long non-coding RNA (11134 nucleotides) under Salmo salar (Atlantic salmon). RNAcentral describes it as "lncRNA (ENSSSAG00000113427.1)". The stretch from base 5421 to 5474 matches the Rfam family "UnaL2 LINE 3' element". Lineage: Eukaryota; Metazoa; Chordata; Actinopteri; Salmoniformes; Salmonidae. The record is from RNAcentral.